GAAACUCAAAGGAAUUGACGGGGACCCGCACAAGCGGUGGAUGAUGUGGUUUAAUUCGAUGCAACGCGAAAAACCUUACCCACCUUUGACAUGUACGGAAGUGACCAGAGAUGGACAUGUGCUCGAAAGAGAACCGUAACACAGGUGCUGCAUGGCUGUCGUCAGCUCGUGUCGUGAGAUGUUGGGUUAAGUCCCGCAACGAGCGCAACCCUUGCCAUUAGUUGCUACAUUUAGUUGGGCACUCUAAUGGGACUGCCGGUGACAAACCGGAGGAAGGUGGGGAUGACGUCAAGUCCUCAUGGCCCUUAUAGGUGGGGCUACACACGUCAUACAAUGGCUGGUACAAAGGGUUGCCAACCCGCGAGGGGGAGCUAAUCCCAUAAAGCCAGUCGUAGUCCGGAUCGCAGUCUGCAACUCGACUGCGUGAAGUCGGAAUCGCUAGUAAUCGUGGAUCAGAAUGUCACGGUGAAUACGUUCCCGGGUCUUGUACACACCGCCCGUCACACCAUGGGAGCGGGUCUCGCCAGAAGUAGGUAGCCUAACCGCAAGG
Molecule: ribosomal RNA, 550 nt
Filed under: Comamonas piscis
Lineage: Bacteria; Pseudomonadati; Pseudomonadota; Betaproteobacteria; Burkholderiales; Comamonadaceae
Description: bacterial SSU rRNA
Rfam family: Bacterial small subunit ribosomal RNA
Source: RNAcentral